GUGUCAGCAGCCGCGGUAAUACGUAGGUGGCUAGCGUUGCUCGGAAUCACUGGGCGUAAAGCGCACGUAGGCGGAUUGCUAAGUCAGGGGUGAAAUCCCACGGCUCAACCGUGGAAGUGCCUUUGAUACUGGCCGUCUCGAGGGAGGUAGGGGCGUGCGGAACUUCCGGUGGAGCGGUGAAAUGCGUAGAUAUCGGAAGGAACACCGGUGGCGAAAGCGGCGCGCUGGACCUUUACUGACGCUGAGGCGCGAAAGCCAGGGGAGCAAACGGGAUUAGAUACCCCGGUAGUCC
RNAcentral lists this ribosomal RNA (292 nucleotides) under uncultured bacterium. RNAcentral's name for it is "partial 16S ribosomal RNA". It matches the Rfam family "Bacterial small subunit ribosomal RNA", at positions 505 to 796 of the family's 1533-position model. The record is from RNAcentral.